This 608-nucleotide long non-coding RNA is filed under the name Crocodylus porosus (Australian saltwater crocodile). Its description in RNAcentral is "lncRNA (ENSCPRG00005014355.1)". The record is from RNAcentral. Lineage: Eukaryota; Metazoa; Chordata; Crocodylia; Crocodylidae.
CCUCUAUAACCAGGAGGGCGGAGAACAGUUUUUUUAAAGCACAAACUGAUAUUUUCCUAUAGUGAAAUGACUCCAGCAGCUGGGCUUUGAGAAAAGCAUCAGAUAUUACAAGACUUGGAAAAAAUUCUGAACGAUUGCAAUGCUGUAAAUGUAAAGAGGACCAAGUUGAGCAAGAAAGGAACAGCAGAAGAGAUAUGAAUGGGCUUUGCUGAGGAUUUAAAGUUUGAAGAGAGUCACACCCCAAGGGAAUUUUUUUCAAUCUUAGUACUUCAACCUAAAGCUAAAUUCCUUGUUCUGUGUAAUACCUGGUUACAUUUAGCACAAAUAAACAGCAGCCACGAACUCGUGACCAGUCAUUUAUACCGAAAGACUAAAACCCGACCUCAGCUACCAACCAUUGCAGUAACAAUUUAGAGUUGGAUGCUGAAAGGUAUAUGUUCAGCACCUCCCAUGGAUCAGGGCCAACAGCAUGAGCAACCACCGGCAAUGAAAAGAGAGAUUACAUCUGCCUGCAGUAACCCUUUGCAGUCACUACAGGAACAGUUGCUUUGGGAAUGGAAUUGUCUUCGUUACACUAUAAGACUGUAUAACCAGAAAUUUCAAUCAGG